Molecule: ribosomal RNA, 254 nt
Filed under: uncultured bacterium
Lineage: Bacteria
Description: partial 16S ribosomal RNA
Rfam family: Bacterial small subunit ribosomal RNA
Source: RNAcentral
UACGGGGGGAGCAAGCGUUGUUCGGAUUUACUGGGCGUAAAGGGCGCGUAGGCGGCCAGCGCAAGUCAGUUGUGAAAUCUCCGGGCUUAACUCGGAACGGUCAACUGAUACUGCGCGGCUAGAGUGCAGAAGGGGCAACUGGAAUUCUCGGUGUAGCGGUGAAAUGCGUAGAUAUCGAGAGGAACACCUGCGGCGAAGGCGGGUUGCUGGGCUGACACUGACGCUGAAGUGCGAAAGCUAGGGGAGCGAACGGG